This 31-nucleotide non-coding RNA is filed under the name Mus musculus (house mouse). Lineage: Eukaryota; Metazoa; Chordata; Mammalia; Rodentia; Muridae. The record is from RNAcentral.
UUAUCGGGACUAUUACCUGACGGGUGAUCAA